CAAUAGCGUAUAUUAAAGUUGUUGCAGUUAAAAAGCUCGUAGUUGGAUUUCUGGUCGGAAGCUCCUGUCCUCUGAUGAGCGUACAAGUGCGUCCUACCAUCCUUCUGUUAACCUUUAAGGCUUUCGCGGCGUUCUAGGGGCUCAGAUAUUUUACCUUGAGAAAAUUAGAGUGUUUCAGGCAGGCUAGCGCCGGAAUACAUUAGCAUGGAAUAAUGGAAUAGGACUUUUGCCUCUUCUGUUGGUCAUGAGGCUCGAGUAAUGAUUAAUAGGGAUAGUUGGGGGCAUUAGUACUUAACUGUCAGAGGUGAAAUUCUCGGAUUUGUUAAAGACUAACUUAUGCGAAAGCAUUUGCCAAGGAUGUUUUCAUUAA
Molecule: ribosomal RNA, 370 nt
Filed under: uncultured eukaryote
Lineage: Eukaryota
Description: partial 18S ribosomal RNA
Rfam family: Eukaryotic small subunit ribosomal RNA
Source: RNAcentral